GGCUCANCCGGGGAGGGUCAUUGGAAACUGGGGAACUNGAGUGCAGAAGAGGAGAGUGGAAUUCCAUGUGUAGCGGUGAAAUGCGUAGAUAUAUGGAGGANCACCAGUGGCGAAGGCGACUCUCUGGUCUGUAACUGACGCUGAGGCUCGAAAGCGUGGGUAGCAAACAGGAUUAGAUACCCUGGUAGUCCACGCCGUAAACGAUGAGUGCUAAGUGUUGGAGGGUUUCCGCCCUUCAGUGCUGCAGUUAACGCAUUAAGCACUCCGCCUGGGGAGUACGACCGCAAGGUUGAAACUCAAAGGAAUUGACGGGGACCCGCACAAGCGGUGGAGCAUGUGGUUUAAUUUGAAGCAACGCGAAGAACCUUACCAAGUCUUGACAUCCUUUGACCACUCUAGAGAUAGAGCUUUCCCUUCGGGGACAAAGUGACAGGUGGUGCAUGGUUGUCGUCAGCUCGUGUCGUGAGAUGUUGGGUUAAGUCCCGCAACGAGCGCAACCCUUAUUACUAGUUGCCAGCAUUCAGUUGGGCACUCUAGUGAGACUGCCGGUGACAAACCGGAGGAAGGUGGGGAUGACGUCAAAUCAUCAUGCCCCUUAUGACUUGGGCUACACACGUGUUACAAUGGAUGGUACAACGAGCAGCGAACUCGCGAGGGUAAGCGAAUCUCUUAAAGCCAUUCUCAGUUCGGAUUGUAGGCUGCAACUCGCCUACAUGAAGCCGGAAUCGCUAGUAAUCGCGGAUCAGCACGCCGCGGUGAAUACGUUCCCGGGUCUUGUACACACCGCCCGUCACACCACGAGAGUUUGUAACACCCAAAGUC
This 822-nucleotide ribosomal RNA is filed under the name uncultured bacterium. RNAcentral's name for it is "bacterial SSU rRNA". It matches the Rfam family "Bacterial small subunit ribosomal RNA", at positions 606 to 1428 of the family's 1533-position model. The record is from RNAcentral.